AGUGAACGCUGGCGGUAGGCCUAACACAUGCAAGUCGAACGGCAGCACAGUAAGAGCUUGCUCUUACGGGUGGCGAGUGGCGGACGGGUGAGGAAUACAUCGGAAUCUACUUUUUCGUGGGGGAUAACGUAGGGAAACUUACGCUAAUAUCGCAUACGACCUACGGGUGAAAGCAGGGGAUCUUCGGACCUUGCGCGAUUGAAUGAACCGAUGUCGGAUUAGCUAGUUGGCGGGGUAAAGGCCCACCAAGGCGACGAUCCGUAGCUGGUCUGAGAGGAUGAUCAGCCACACUGGAACUGAGACACGGUCCAGACUCCUACGGGAGGCAGCAGUGGGGAAUAUUGGACAAUGGGCGCAAGCCUGAUCCAGCCAUACCGCGUGGGUGAAGAAGGCCUUCGGGUUGUAAAGCCCUUUUGUUGGGAAAGAAAAGCAGCAGGUUAAUACCCCGCUGUUCUGACGGUACCCAAAGAAUAAGCACCGGCUAACUUCGUG
RNAcentral lists this ribosomal RNA (492 nucleotides) under uncultured bacterium. Its description in RNAcentral is "partial 16S ribosomal RNA". It matches the Rfam family "Bacterial small subunit ribosomal RNA", at positions 29 to 507 of the family's 1533-position model. The record is from RNAcentral.